Long non-coding RNA from Folsomia candida, 868 nucleotides. RefSeq lists it as uncharacterized. Lineage: Eukaryota; Metazoa; Arthropoda; Collembola; Entomobryomorpha; Isotomidae. The record is from RefSeq and is a predicted model, not a curated record. The transcript has 2 exons.
CUGUUAAGUCAUAAGAUAAAAAAAAUUCCCCGAAAUUAUGUAUCAGUUCCAGCAUACUCUUCAAAAGAUUUAUGCGCAUUUGGUUCCCCGUUAUCACGACACCCCUACAUGUUCCUCACACAUUCAUAUUUAUAUGCAAAUUUAUGUGGUUACUUUUUAUUCACUUCUAUUAAUUCUAAGACCAUUAUAUAUCUUUGCAUACAAAAACUCACCAUCACACAAAAAGUUGUUACAUAUUCCCUAAAUCCGAUUUAAUAUGCAACUGUUAAUAUAAAUAUUUGCGUACGUGUGCCUCCGCAUGAAUUCAGAAUAUUAUAAGUCCCACGCUUGGCAACUCAACAAUUUUUUUCUAGUUGAAUUGAAUUCGAAUAAGAUAAUUUUAGUAAACAUCCUUUAUUUUGGGAUGCAUUGUGGCGUAUAAAUUUGGUAUAUCUGUAAAAGUGGAUCAGUAAGCGGGUUUUCAAUUUAGAAACUAUUUACUUCACUUAAAUAUAACCAGCCGUUUCAUACAUACUUUCCGAAAAAGUAUUUUGAUUAAAAGGUAUAAUGAUGACUCCAAGGAUUCGUUUCAUUGCAACCGUUUUGCUUGCAAUGGUGCUUUUUGUUACCCUAAUACCAGCGGCCCAGGCUUGUGCCGGCAUCAACCAGACGUGCUACACAAAUAGUGAUUGCUGCGGCGCAUUGUACUGUUCCAGAUGGCAUCGUUACCGUCGCCUCCUAAGAGCAGGGUAAAAUAAUGGAGCACAAGUUGCGGAAUUACGGCACAUACAUAUAACUUAAUUUUUUAUUAAAUUACAUUCAUGUGCUUACCUUUCAUUGGUAGUUUGUCCCAAGUAGCUGCAAUAAAUUAAAAUUUACUAUUUUCGCA